Molecule: ribosomal RNA, 445 nt
Filed under: uncultured bacterium
Lineage: Bacteria
Description: partial 16S ribosomal RNA
Rfam family: Bacterial small subunit ribosomal RNA
Source: RNAcentral
GUGAGGAAUAUUGGUCAAUGGGCGGGAGCCUGAACCAGCCAAGUCGCGUGAAGGAAGAAGGAUCUAUGGUUCGUAAACUUCUUUUGCAGGGGAAUAAAGUGCAGGACGUGUCCUGUUUUGUAUGUACCCUGAGAAUAAGGAUCGGCUAACUCCGUGCCAGCAGCCGCGGUAAUACGGAGGAUCCGAGCGUUAUCCGGAUGUAUUGGGUUUAAAGGGUGCGUAGGUGGUUUGAUAAGUCAGCGGUGAAAGUUUGCAGCUUAACUGUAAAAAUGCCGUUGAAACUGUCGGACUUGAGUGUAAAUGAGGUAGGCGGAAUGCGUGGUGUAGCGGUGAAAUGCAUAGAUAUCACGCAGAACUCCGAUUGCGAAGGCAGCUUACUAAGCUACAACUGACACUGAAGCACGAAAGCGUGGGGAUCAAACAGGAUUAGAUACCCCAGUAGUCC